Molecule: ribosomal RNA, 492 nt
Filed under: uncultured bacterium
Lineage: Bacteria
Description: partial 16S ribosomal RNA
Rfam family: Bacterial small subunit ribosomal RNA
Source: RNAcentral
AGUGAACGCUGGCGGUAGGCCUAACACAUGCAAGUCGAACGGCAGCACAGUAAGAGCCUGCUCUUACGGGUGGCGAGUGGCGGACGGGUGAGGAAUACAUCGGAAUCUACUUUUUCGUGGGGGAUAACGUAGGGAAACUUACGCUAAUACCGCAUACGACCUACGGGUGAAAGCAGGGGAUCUUCGGACCUUGCGCGAUUGAAUGAGCCGAUGUCGGAUUAGCUAGUUGGCGGGGUAAAGGCCCACCAAGGCGACGAUCCGUAGCUGGUCUGAGAGGAUGAUCAGCCACACUGGAACUGAGACACGGUCCAGACUCCUACGGGAGGCAGCAGUGGGGAAUAUUGGACAAUGGGCGCAAGCCUGAUCCAGCCAUACCGCGUGAGUGAAGAAGGCCUUCGGGUUGUAAAGCCCUUUUGUUGGGAAAGAAAAGCAGCAGGUUAAUACCCCGCUGUUCUGACGGUACCCAAAGAAUAAGCACCGGCUAACUUCGUG